RNAcentral lists this ribosomal RNA (425 nucleotides) under Verrucomicrobiota bacterium. Its description in RNAcentral is "Verrucomicrobia bacterium partial 16S ribosomal RNA". It matches the Rfam family "Bacterial small subunit ribosomal RNA", at positions 355 to 776 of the family's 1533-position model. The record is from RNAcentral. Lineage: Bacteria; Pseudomonadati; Verrucomicrobiota.
UGAGGAAUAUUGGUCAAUGGGCGAGAGCCUGAACCAGCCACGUCGCGUGAAGGAAGACUGACCUUACGGUUUGUAAACUUCUUUUGUAGAGGGGUAAUGACAGAUACGUGUAUUUGCGUGAAAGUACUCUACGAAUAAGCAUCGGCUAACUCCGUGCCAGCAGCCGCGGUAAUACGGGGGAUGCGAGCGUUAUCCGGAAUUAUUGGGUUUAAAGGGUGCGCAGGUGGCUAAUCAGGUCAGUGGUGAAAAGCUAUGGCUCAACCAUGGUCUUGCCAUUGAAACCGUAUAGCUAGAGAGGAGACGAGGUAGGCGGAAUGUGUGGUGUAGCGGUGAAAUGCAUAGAUAUCACACAGAACUCCGAUUGCGAAGGCAGCUUACCAGGCUUUAUCUGACACUUAGGCACGACAGCGUGGGGAUCAAACAGG